AGAGGUUUGUAGUCCUCGGCUCAGAGUGAACGCUGCGGCAGGCCUAACACAUGCAAGUCGAGCGGCAGCGGGUCCUUCGGGAGUGCCGGCGGGCGGGCGGACGGGUGAGGAAUGCAUCGGAAUCUGCCCUGUCUGGGGGAGUAACCUAGGGAAACUUAGGCUAAUACCGCAUACGACCUACGGGUGAAAGCGGGGGAUCGCAAGACCUCGCGCGACAGGAUGAGCCGAUGUCCGAUUAGCUAGUUGGCGGGGUAAAGGCCCACCAAGGCGACGAUCGGUAGCUGGUCUGAGAGGAUGAUCAGCCACACUGGGACUGAGACACGGCCCAGACUCCUACGGGAGGCAGCAGUGGGGAAUAUUGGACAAUGGGCGCAAGCCUGAUCCAGCCAUGCCGCGUGGGUGAAGAAGGCCUUCGGGUUGUAAAGCCCUUUUGUCCGGGAAGAAAUCGUCUGGGCUAAUACCCCGGGCGGAUGACGGUACCGGAAGAAUAAGCACCGGCUAACUUCGCG
This 509-nucleotide ribosomal RNA is filed under the name uncultured Lysobacteraceae bacterium. Its description in RNAcentral is "bacterial SSU rRNA". It matches the Rfam family "Bacterial small subunit ribosomal RNA", at positions 1 to 507 of the family's 1533-position model. The record is from RNAcentral. Lineage: Bacteria; Pseudomonadati; Pseudomonadota; Gammaproteobacteria; Lysobacterales; Lysobacteraceae.